This 253-nucleotide ribosomal RNA is filed under the name uncultured bacterium. RNAcentral describes it as "partial 16S ribosomal RNA". It matches the Rfam family "Bacterial small subunit ribosomal RNA", at positions 524 to 776 of the family's 1533-position model. The record is from RNAcentral.
UACGGGGGGGGCAAGCGUUGUUCGGAAUUACUGGGCGUAAAGGGCGCGUAGGCGGCCUGCUAAGUCGGACGUGAAAUCCCUCGGCUCAACCGAGGAACUGCGUCCGAUACUGGCGGGCUCGAAUCCGGGAGAGGGAUGUGGAAUUCCAGGUGUAGCGGUGAAAUGCGUAGAUAUCAAGAGGAACACCAGUGGCGAAGGCGAGUCCCUGGACAACACCUGACACUGAGGCACGAAAGCCGGGGGAGCAAACAGG